ACAGUUUGGGGAACUUUUUCCCACCUGAGCCUUUGUCCCAUCUUGGGACACUGGAGAUCAUCAUUUUUUGUUUCCCUCUUCCUUCCUUCCACUGGUGAGGAGUGGCUGCUCUCCCUUAUUGUGGAAGACCCUCCAAAGGGAAGAGACAGGAAGAGUGCUCUAAACCUUCAGUCUCCAGUCUCUCAGAGUCUCCAUGCUGAUUGGCUGAGCCUGAGGAUAAGGCUCUUCCCUUCCUACUCCGUCCAUUCAUCUGGCAGCUCCAGAAGUUUAACUGGCUAUAGGUCACCCUCAAGAUAUCACCCCCAGACUGAUGAAAUAGUGGAGCGGUCUAAAGGGAUCCUGAAGGUCUUGAGGGUAUUUGUGGAGGAGGAUCCCUAGGACCGGCACAAGUUGCUCCCUGCACUCCUCUUCGCCAUGCGAGAAGUCCCACAGACCUCUACUGGAUUUUCCAUUUGAGCUACUCUAUGUCAGCAUCCCUGGCAAAUCCUAGACCUCUUGAGAGAAUCCUGAGAGAACUAGGAAACCUGAGUUGCGGUUCUGUCCAGUAUAUUUUAUGAGUACAGGAAUGGCUCCAAGAGCUGGGUACUAUGGCAUGAGAGAACCUGUUAUAAGACCAGCAUACUCAGGAAACCCACUAUGAAGAUAGGGUGGUGAAGAUGAGGAUCUUUGAGCCAGGAGACUGUGUCCUGUUGCUACUAUCCCCCUCAGAAUCCAAGGUGCUGGCCAAAUGGCAAGACUCCUUCCAGAUAAUCAGCCAAGUUGGGCCUGUUGAUUAUGAGAUCUGCAUGUCACAGUGGCAGAGGGACACUUACGUCUACUACAUAAACCUCCCGAAGGCCUGGAAAGAAUGGGAGGGCCUGAGGAUUGCCCAUACCCACCAGAACCUGAGUUGCGGCCACUAGCUGAUAAAUCUGCGGAGCCUGGGACAAUGGCUGUUGGCCAAGAACUAAGCCCUAGGCAACAGGAACAAGUCCAGUAGUUAAUGGCCAGUUUCCCCUCCAUCUUAGCAUCUCAGUCAGGGAACACUAAACUGAUCCAUCAUUAUAUCACAAACCAGAUUGGUUGAUGAUAUGUUUUGAAUCCACCUAAUAGAAAAAAAAAUCAAAAUUACAAUGUUAGAAAGAUGCAAGUUUAUACGUUCUUACUUUGCAAACACAAGACAUUCUCCUCCACAAGACUGUUCUUUACUUGUUUUCAGAGAAUCCAGAAUUUUGGGAAGUGGAAUGUAUGAGGCUUGGGAAGAAUGAGAGGAACACCAAGAGUUGAAGAGUUUCCACUUUUGAAGUUAAGUUUUGUGAUUACAAAAUUUCCUGCUAGAUAGGAGAACCCACUGGACUGCAUCUGAAUAGGUUAGAGUUCCAUGCUUAGGAGUCAUGCUCAAAGAUUCAAAGAUGAGGGGCUGGGAGGGAUUAGGGUCUCCAAAUUCUGUGAAGGAGAUCCUUUCUAAUACGUAGCUGAAGAGGUGCUGCCACAGAGAAGUGAAGCUGGUUUUAAUCACUACACUUGUCUUGAUAAGGAUGGCAGUAUAGGGAUCAAAGGUAGAAGUGGAUACGUAAUACAGUAGGAUAUGUGGCAUUGAUAUUCUAAGUGAUAGAAAUGUAGCCGUGUUAGUCUGGAGUAGCUGAAGCAAAAUGCAGGACAAUGUAGCACCUCCCAGUAGUGUUGCAGAUUCGAGUAUGAUGCAGCUUUAAUUGUGAAUGCCAGGCAAAUCAUAGAUCAUUGUAUUAGCGGAUAGUAAGAGUUACUGGAAUACAUAGUUUCUCACCUUCAAUUUUUUUUAUUAAUUCACCAUUAGUAUUACAGCUGUAACUUUGCAGUAGUUAAAAAAACCAUCUCAGAUAUACAUAAUGUAAUUAAAAAAUCUGAGAUGAGUGGGAUAAUUUAUUGAAGCAGUGCAACACCUGCCUCCUGUGACACAUGGCAGAUUUGGGGAUUCCCAGAAACAGACCUUUGUGCCACUCACUGAAAAUGCUGGGGGGAUUUUUCAGGGAAGACUAGUGGAAUAGGAUGGAAAUGGAUGGAGUAUUCCAUGCUGAUCACCUCCACAAAUCCAUCUGCAAGAGGUAAUUUGUGCCUAGGCAGGUAGGAAGUAGGAUAUCCAAUCUCCAAAGGGGGGGGUUGGAUGUAAUAAUUCAGCACAGGAUUCAGUAAGGUAAGCUUCUUGAGGCCCUCAACCAAGAUGUCAAAAUUAUUUUGUAGAUGAGAUGUUGCUAUAGAAGGGGGGGGAAGCCCCUUUUCUGAGGUCUAGAUCGCCUCCUCUGAAAAGCUCAAAAUCUGGGAAUGUUCUACUGAGUUUUGUAUUGGAAAAGCUUAGUCUGUUGUGAUAUUUGAGACCUACUAAACUAUCUCUUGGUUUUAGCAAUGUAAACUCCCAGUGACUGUCAAGUAGCUCUCAAGUCCUUCAGAGUAUAGAGGAAGGACUCCAUGUCAGAGAUGGAAACCUUGGAUCUUAAAAGAGAAGGUCUGCAAACAUAUUCUGCACUUCUCUUGGGAGAUGACAACUGGAGUCAAGAUGCUCUCCACAUAACCAUGACUAUAUCUAGGGAAGUAGAAGCCGUGACUGAAACAUCUAAAGCAGCCUGGAAGGAGAUUCUGGUUUUCAAAUUACUGUCUGAAAUGAGAGCCUGAAUUUGUUCUCUGAUCUGUGGCAGGUGUUCAAUAAAAUGAAUGAACAUGCCAUAUAUAUUGCAAUCCAUAUUUUACCAACAUAUU
Molecule: non-coding RNA, 2712 nt
Organism: Pelodiscus sinensis (Chinese soft-shelled turtle)
Lineage: Eukaryota; Metazoa; Chordata; Testudines; Trionychidae
Source: RefSeq, a predicted model, not a curated record